This 506-nucleotide ribosomal RNA is filed under the name uncultured bacterium. RNAcentral's name for it is "partial 16S ribosomal RNA". It matches the Rfam family "Bacterial small subunit ribosomal RNA", at positions 29 to 523 of the family's 1533-position model. The record is from RNAcentral.
AGUGAACGCUGGCGGUAGGCCUAACACAUGCAAGUCGAACGGCAGCACAGAGGAGCUUGCUCCUUGGGUGGCGAGUGGCGGACGGGUGAGGAAUACAUCGGAAUCUACUCUGUCGUGGGGGAUAACGUAGGGAAACUUACGCUAAUACCGCAUACGACCUACGGGUGAAAGCAGGGGACCUUCGGGCCUUGCACGAUUGAAUGAGCCGAUGUCGGAUUAGCUAGUUGGCGGGGUAAAGGCCCACCAAGGCGACGAUCCGUAGCUGGUCUGAGAGGAUGAUCAGCCGCACUGGAGCUGGGACACGGGCAAGACUCCUACGGGAGGCAGCAGUGGGGAAUAUUGGACAAUGGGCGCAAGCCUGAUCCAGCCAUACCGCGUGGGUGAAGAAGGCCUUCGGGUUGUAAAGCCCUUUUGUUGGGAAAGAAAUCCAGCUGGCUAAUACCCGGUUGGGAUGACGGUACCCAUAGAAUAAGCACCGGCUAACUUCCUGCCAGCCGCCGCGGUAA